RNAcentral lists this ribosomal RNA (762 nucleotides) under uncultured bacterium. RNAcentral's name for it is "bacterial SSU rRNA". It matches the Rfam family "Bacterial small subunit ribosomal RNA", at positions 69 to 803 of the family's 1533-position model. The record is from RNAcentral.
CUUCUUUUUCCCCGGAGCUUGCUCCACCGGAAAAAGAGGAGUGGCGAACGGGUGAGUAACACGUGGGUAACCUGCCCAUCAGAAGGGGAUAACACUUGGAAACAGGUGCUAAUACCGUAUAACAAUCAAAACCGCAUGGUUUUGAUUUGAAAGGCGCUUUCGGGUGUCGCUGAUGGAUGGACCCGCGGUGCAUUAGCUAGUUGGUGAGGUAACGGCUCACCAAGGCCACGAUGCAUAGCCGACCUGAGAGGGUGAUCGGCCACAUUGGGACUGAGACACGGCCCAAACUCCUACGGGAGGCAGCAGUAGGGAAUCUUCGGCAAUGGACGAAAGUCUGACCGAGCAACGCCGCGUGAGUGAAGAAGGUUUUCGGAUCGUAAAACUCUGUUGUUAGAGAAGAACAAGGAUGAGAGUAACUGUUCAUCCCUUGACGGUAUCUAACCAGAAAGCCACGGCUAACUACGUGCCAGCAGCCGCGGUAAUACGUAGGUGGCAAGCGUUGUCCGGAUUUAUUGGGCGUAAAGCGAGCGCAGGCGGUUUCUUAAGUCUGAUGUGAAAGCCCCCGGCUCAACCGGGGAGGGUCAUUGGAAACUGGGAGACUUGAGUGCAGAAGAGGAGAGUGGAAUUCCAUGUGUAGCGGUGAAAUGCGUAGAUAUAUGGAGGAACACCAGUGGCGAAGGCGGCUCUCUGGUCUGUAACUGACGCUGAGGCUCGAAAGCGUGNGGAGCAAACAGGAUUAGAUACCCUGGUAGUCCACGCCGU